GUUCAUAUAGUUUAAAAUCAAAC
This 23-nucleotide transfer RNA is filed under the name Dogania subplana. RNAcentral's name for it is "partial tRNA-His". Lineage: Eukaryota; Metazoa; Chordata; Testudines; Trionychidae. The record is from RNAcentral.